RNAcentral lists this ribosomal RNA (901 nucleotides) under uncultured bacterium. Its description in RNAcentral is "bacterial SSU rRNA". It matches the Rfam family "Bacterial small subunit ribosomal RNA", at positions 51 to 965 of the family's 1533-position model. The record is from RNAcentral.
ACACAUGCAAGUCGAACGAGAGAGAAGGAGCUUGCUUCUUCGAUCGAGUGGCGAACGGGUGAGUAACGCGUGAGGAACCUGCCUCAAAGAGGGGGACAACAGUUGGAAACGACUGCUAAUACCGCAUAAGCCCACGGAUCGGCAUCGAUCUGAGGGAAAAGGAGCAAUCCGCUUUGAGAUGGCCUCGCGUCCGAUUAGCUAGUUGGUGAGGUAAUGGCCCACCAAGGCGACGAUCGGUAGCCGGACUGAGAGGUUGAACGGCCACAUUGGGACUGAGACACGGCCCAGACUCCUACGGGAGGCAGCAGUGGGGAAUAUUGCACAAUGGGGGAAACCCUGAUGCAGCGACGCCGCGUGGAGGAAGAAGGUCUUCGGAUUGUAAACUCCUGUUGUUGAGGAAGAUAAUGACGGUACUCAACAAGGAAGUGACGGCUAACUACGUGCCAGCAGCCGCGGUAAAACGUAGGUCACAAGCGUUGUCCGGAAUUACUGGGUGUAAAGGGAGCGCAGGCGGGAAGACAAGUUGGAAGUGAAAUCUAUGGGCUCAACCCAUAAACUGCUUUCAAAACUGUUUUUCUUGAGUAGUGCAGAGGUAGGCGGAAUUCCCGGUGUAGCGGUGGAAUGCGUAGAUAUCGGGAGGAACACCAGUGGCGAAGGCGGCCUACUGGGCACCAACUGACGCUGAGGCUCGAAAGUGUGGGUAGCAAACAGGAUUAGAUACCCUGGUAGUCCACACCGUAAACGAUGAUUACUAGGUGUUGGAGGAUUGACCCCUUCAGUGCCGCAGUUAACACAAUAAGUAAUCCACCUGGGGAGUACGACCGCAAGGUUGAAACUCAAAGGAAUUGACGGGGGCCCGCACAAGCAGUGGAGUAUGUGGUUUAAUUCGACGCAACGCGAA